AUGUGUUUUUCGACAACUUUCUAUCAUGUUGUACAUGUUCCUGCAAGGAUCACCGCACAUGCUCAGUAUGUUCCUAGGGCAUUUUCAGACAUGGUAGCACGACAAAUAUCAGUAAUGCAUGAGAGUAAGAUAAAAAGGUCAAGCAAUGAAAUUAUUUUCAUACCAAUUGGUUCAGGCAACUUAAGGCCUUUCCUAAGUCCAUCAAUCCCAGCAGCGACAAUAGCAGCAAGCCCCAAGUGCGGAUUUGCGCACCCAUCAAAUGAUUUAAUUUCGAAGUUGCUGACCAUGUCGAGAGGCACACCAGGUGGGCAUGCGGUUCUCAAUGGAGCCUCCCGGUUUUCUUUCCCCCAGCAUAGGUAA
This 360-nucleotide ribosomal RNA is filed under the name Triticum aestivum (bread wheat). Its description in RNAcentral is "partial small subunit ribosomal RNA". Lineage: Eukaryota; Viridiplantae; Streptophyta; Magnoliopsida; Poales; Poaceae. The record is from RNAcentral.